ACUCUCAUCCCUGCGAUACCAGAACACUAGAGGCCUGAACUUUGGCACACCACUUUUGAAAGAAAAGAGUCCAGGGAAACAACAGGAUUAAAAGUGUUUCUGCUCCUUGGGGAUAUAGAAAAAGAGAAAUGUAUAACGCCUCUCCUUCUGAUCCACUCACCACAAACCACUAAUUGACUACCUUGGGACAGAGUCACAUGGAAUUUGGUUUCAGCUCACUGAGUGUGCUUUGUGCAGAUUUCUGUGAAGAUAAGUAAUUGCUAAUGUCAUCUAUAAAACAGAAUGGGAACAUCUGAGGCCAGUUUCUCAUCUCAGCCAUGUUUUUCAAAAGAUGCAAGUCAUUGUCGUGUCUUUUAUUAGUCCCAAGGACGGUUGAUUUCAUUUAAGAUGUUGUUUGUCUGCUGCAAUCAUCAACAGCUGAUAACAUCUCGCUCAUUUUAAAAGCCAUCUCCCAGUAUUAAUGUGCUCUGCACAUCCUGUUGAAUAUUUAUAUUUGAUCAGAAGACAUUGACAUACAGGUUUCACUUGAUCCUAUUGCCUGGGAUGUCUUAAAAAGUUAUUUUCUAUACUUUUUAUAUAAGAAUCUAUCUGAUUCUAAUCAUACCCUUUGAUAAAUUUCCUUGGUUCAUUUGAUUCAUUUUUACUGGAGUCUCUUCUUAUGGAAGUUGCCAGAAAGAGCAAUGGAUUUUGAAACAGAAAAGUGAAUUCAAUCAUACCUCUCUUUCUUAUUAAAGGCAAA
This is a long non-coding RNA of Sarcophilus harrisii (Tasmanian devil), 739 nucleotides long. RefSeq lists it as uncharacterized. The record is from RefSeq and is a predicted model, not a curated record. The transcript is spliced from 3 exons. Lineage: Eukaryota; Metazoa; Chordata; Mammalia; Dasyuromorphia; Dasyuridae.